GACGAACGCUGGCGGCGCGCCUAACACAUGCAAGUCGAACGAGAGAUGAAGAGCUUGCUCUUCAGAUCGAGUGGCGAACGGGUGAGUAACGCGUGAGGAACCUGCCUCAAAGAGGGGGACAACAGUUGGAAACGACUGCUAAUACCGCAUAAGCCCACGGCUCGGCAUCGAGCAGAGGGAAAAGGAGUGAUCCGCUUUGAGAUGGCCUCGCGUCCGAUUAGCUAGUUGGUGAGGUAACGGCCCACCAAGGCGACGAUCGGUAGCCGGACUGAGAGGUUGAACGGCCACAUUGGGACUGAGACACGGCCCAGACUCCUACGGGAGGCAGCAGUGGGGAAUAUUGCACAAUGGAGGAAACUCUGAUGCAGCGACGCCGCGUGAGUGAAGAAGGUCUUCGGGAUUGUAAACUCCUGUUGUUGAGGAAGAUAAUGACGGUACUCAACAAGGAAGUGACGGCUAACUACGUGCCAGCAGCC
Molecule: ribosomal RNA, 476 nt
Filed under: uncultured bacterium
Lineage: Bacteria
Description: bacterial SSU rRNA
Rfam family: Bacterial small subunit ribosomal RNA
Source: RNAcentral